CCCUUAGAUGUCCUGAGCUGCACGCGUACUACAAUGACACUUUCAGCAAGUUUUUCCUGAUCCGAAAGGAUUUGGGUAAUCUUUUUAGUGAGUGUCGUGCUUGGGAUAGUUCUUUGUAAUUGUGGAACUUGAACUAGGAAUUCCUAGUAAGCGCGAUUCAACAUAUCGUGCUGAUUACGUCCCUGCAAAAUGUACACACCGCCCGUCGCUUUUACCGAUUGAGUGUUCAGGUGAGUCUUCUUGAUAGUGUCACAGCUAAAAAUUAAACAAACCUUAGCACUUAGAGGAAAAAGAAGUCGUAACA
This 304-nucleotide ribosomal RNA is filed under the name uncultured eukaryote. RNAcentral describes it as "partial 18S ribosomal RNA". It matches the Rfam family "Eukaryotic small subunit ribosomal RNA", at positions 1470 to 1796 of the family's 1831-position model. The record is from RNAcentral.